Molecule: ribosomal RNA, 2781 nt
Filed under: Triticum aestivum (bread wheat)
Lineage: Eukaryota; Viridiplantae; Streptophyta; Magnoliopsida; Poales; Poaceae
Description: partial small subunit ribosomal RNA
Source: RNAcentral
AUGGCCAUGGAGGCGACUCUUGUCAGCGUGGCCACAGGGGUCCUCAUACCUGUCCUGGGAAAGUUAUCCACUUUGCUUGGUAACGAGUACAAGCGGUUCAAGGGUGUGCGCAAGGAGAUCAGGUCCCUUACUCAUGAGCUUGGUGCCAUGGAGGCUUUUCUCCUCAAGAUGUCCGAGGAAGAGGAUCCCGAUUCGCGGGAUAAAGUUUGGAUGAAUGAGGUGCGAGAAUUAUCCUACGACAUGGAGGAUGCCAUUGACGACUUCAUGCAAAGCGUUGAUGACAAAGACGAAAAGCCAAAUGGCUUCAUCGAGAAGAUCAAGAACUCACUAGGGAAGUUGGGGAAGAUGAAGGCUCGCCGUCGGAUUGGCAAAGAGAUUCAGGAUCUAAAGAAACAAAUAGUUGAGGUGGGCGACAGGAAUGCAAGAUACAAGAGUCGCGAGCCCUUCUCCAAGACCGUCAAUGCGACCAUUGACCCUAGAGCUCUUGCUAUAUUUGAGCAUGCAUCGAAUCUUGUUGGAAUCGAUGAGCCCAAGGCAGAGAUAAUCAAGCUGUUAAUAGAAGAGGUUGUUCGUGCUUCAGAGCAACAACAACAACUGAAGAUAGUCUCCAUUGUUGGAUCUGGAGGUAUGGGCAAGACAACUCUUGCAAACCAAGUGUAUCAAGAGCUAAAAGGAAAAUAUGAGUGUUGGGCUUUCGUCUCAGUUUCACGAAAUCCAGACAUGAUGAAUAUUUUGAGAACUAUUCUAAGUGAAGUGGCUAAGAAAGAUUAUGCUACCACUGAAUCAGGGGAUAUACAACAACUCAUUAUCAAGAUCAUAGAUUUUCUAGCAAACAAAAGGUACUUUGUUGUUGUUGACGAUAUAUGGGACAUGGAUACAUGGGAUAUUAUUAAGUGUGCAUUCCCCGCUAGAAGUUCUACCAGUAGAAUCAUCACCACCACUCGUAUGAACAGUGUCGCUAAUUUAUGUUGUUCGUCAUUCAAUGGUCAUAUUUACAAUAUAAGGGCUCUUGAUAUGGUGCACUCAAGACAAUUAUUUCACAUCAGAUUAUUUAAGUCCGAUGAAGAUUGCCCUGCACACCUUCAAGAAAUUUCUGAGCAGAUAUUGGAAAAAUGCGAUGGGUUACCUUUGGCGAUCAUUGCUAUAUCUGGUUUGUUGGCUAACACCGAAAGAACAGAAAAUAUAUGGAAUCAAGUAAAAGAUUCAAUUGGUCGUGCACUUGAAAGGAAUCCCAACGUUGAAGGAAUGAUGAAGAUUUUGUCACUUAGUUACUUUGAUCUUCCCGCUCAUCUAAAAACUUGCCUCUUAUAUCUAAGCAUGUAUCUAGAAGAUUCUACUGUUGAGAAGAAGGGCCUGAUAAGAAGAUGGAUUGUUGAAGGAUUCAUUCUUGGAGAAGGCAGAUACACGGCAUAUGAGUUAGGAGAAAGGUGUUUUAAUGAACUACUCAAUAGGGGUUUGAUCCAGCCUGUGGAGACAGAUGACUACGGCGAGGUGAAUAGUUGUCGAGUUCAUGACACAAUUCUUGAUUUCAUCAUAUCCAAGUCUAUAGAAGAGAACUUCAUUACUUUACGUGGUGUUCCCAUUCUGACAAUUGGGAACCAAAGCAAAGUUGUUCGUCGACUCUGUCUACAAGGUGUAAAGGAAGGAAAUUCAACUGUACUGACAGAAGGUCUCGUGUUGUCCCAUGUCCGAUCACUUACUGUGGUUAGAGGUCUCGUGAAAAUCUUUUCUUUUGAGGAGUUUAGACAUCUGCGUGUUCUCCACUUGAUGGGUUGCUCUGAAUUGGAUGAUCAUCAUCUUGAAAAUAUAAUGAGGUUGUUCCAGCUGAGGUACCUGAACCUCCAAGGUACAGGAAUAAGCAAGCUCCCGGAACAAAUUGGGCGUUUAGUGUGCUUAGAGAUACUCAAUCUAACACGUACUUAUGUACGGGGAUUACCUGCAUCUAUUGUUAAUCUCGGAAAAUUGUUGCAUCUACGUGUUGAUCAUGAUGUGAAAUUUCCUAAUGGGAUUGCAAAGAUGCAAGCACUGGAGACGUUGGGAUAUGUGAAGGUCUCCAUUCAGCCAAUUGACUUCGUGUGUGGCCUUGGCCAACUAAAGAAUUUGAGGAAUCUGCAGCUUGACCUUACUUUCGAAGGCGAUUGUGACAUUGAGGAUAGGGAUGUGGUUGGUGAGGAACGCAAGAAAGCUAUAGUCUCUUCAUUGUGUAAGCUAGGCACCCAGAACCUCCGCUCCUUGAGUAUUUGGUGUGGGAGCAGCCUCUUACAGGGACCUUUGUGCCUGCCUACCCUUGAGAAACUUACUACCGGGUCUUCGGCUGUCCCGCAGAUUCCGACAUGGUUGAGCUCCUCUAGAAACCUCCAACUGCUAUGGAUUGAAGUUGAGGUAGUCAAGCAGGACGAUCUCUGCAUACUUGGGGCCUUACCCAGUUUGCUCGUUCUGCAUCUGGAAGAAGCAGCAAAGUCAAAAGAAAAGCUCAGAAUCAGUGGUGAAGUUGGGUUCCAACUAUUGAGGAUUUUCAUUUAUGAUGCAUCUGAUGAACCAGUAGAUCUGAUAUUUGGGGUAGGGUCCAUGCCCAAGCUAGAAAAACUCGAGCUUCGUUAUUUGUGUGCAGUUGAAGCUGACUGUCUGGACUUUGGAAUCGGGAACCUCCCCUGCCUUAGUAUCAUCAAAUUUAUUGGUGUUGGUGGUGACUAUGACAUUGUUGAAGCAGUGAAGAUUGCCAUGAAGAGAGCAGCCAGCGCACAUCUCAACCACCCUAGUCUACACUUUUUAGAAGAAUAA